UUUAGAAAGGGCAUAUUUCCUUCAACCUCUGACUUCCUUAAAUAAUUCAGAACACUAGUACUUUCAAAGUAAUUAACUUCAUCACUGUAAACGGAUAUGGAGUCCCAGAAAACAGUUUGGAGGAUGGGACUUAACUACUUUACCUGAAUCACAGAUAACUCGGAAAUUUUCUUCUCUCUCAUACAAAGUAAGCCAAGCAGAUGAGUUUUCUUCACUGUACCAGAUGGGGAGAUGGGACAAUCUCAUUGCUUUCUCCAAAAGAACCAAAUAUCAAUAUAUAGAAAGUAUUCUCAGGAUGCUUUAAAACAGGGGAUCACAGCCCACACUGAUGGAUAUAACUGUAACUCAAUCAGCAUAAUUUAAAAUGUUCUAGGCAGCCAUCACAGUAAUAGCUGAAUAGUUAAUAACUAGAUCCCUUUGCUUCCAGGCCAACUCACUCAAAAAUGACAAGGGACAGAAGCGAGAGCAAAUGCCCUUGUUUCACCUUGUAUAACAGCAGCAGUAACGAUGAUGAUGAGGAUGAUGAUAACAGGACAACCUUAACAGAGCUGUGGUGACAGUGAGGAGACAGUGAACAAGAAAGCUAGUGACCUGGAGUCAAAAUAUGGUCAGCACACUGAAAUGUAGUUUUAAUAAUCAUUGUAGGUGCUUUUGGGUUUUGGUUUUCAAAUACUUCUUCUAUUUGUAAAAUAAUAUACAUCCGUUAUAGAAAAUGUAGACAAUAAUAGGGACAUAUAGUGAAGAAAAUACAAGUCUUUCAUAAUCCUAUCACAGAGAGAUGUUCAAGGUUAACAUUAUAUUUAUAAUCUUCUAUUUGCUACUGUUUUUUAACUGAUAAAGAAAUAAUUCCAAAAAGACCAUAAUGGCACUUGGUAAAAAUUUCCGGCCAUACAGAAAUGUAUAUAGAGAACAUGAAGAUCCUUCCUCUUUGUCUGCCACAUGCCCCACCAUCCCAAGCCCCACUCCCCAGAGAGAUCGACAGUUUAGUAUAUAUUUCUACUAAAUAUUGACAAUUAUGCUUUUCUCUUAUGAAGGAUUAUGUCCUCUUAAGAUUUUUUAAAUCUUAAGCAUUCACUGCCUUUCCAACCACAAGCUGAGAAGCAGAGGAUAUAACUUUAUACUUUUUGGUGUUUCCUGUGCCUACCACGAUACUCUGCACACUCAAUAAGCAUUUGUUGAAAAUGGUUAUACAUCCUUCCCAAGCCACAAACUCAGUCUCAAAAUAGAACAUGUCUAUAAAUGGUGGGUUGCCAGCCUCUGGGUCACUCAAGCCGCCAAUCCCAGCAGAGACAUCUGUAGAAACAGAACUCAAAACACUGUUUUGCUUAUCUUCUAAGUUUCUUCUGUGGUCUUCCUGAAUGGGCCUCUGCAUUCACCUAUGCAACUGCCCCUCUGGACUGGAUCUUGUCUGCUGUGUUCCACAUCAGUUACCAGGACCAGAAGCCAGUACAAUGCCCACCAUGUGGUAGGUGCUCAGUAACCAAGUGUUGAAUUAAAGACUAAUAAUAAUAGUAUUGAACCUUUCCUGGGCACUUAUGAUAUGUAAGGCACCACCGCUACUUUAGAGAUGAAGAAGCAGGCUCUGAGAGGCUGAGGAAUUUGCCCCGAGUCGUACAGCUGGUAAGUAGCAGAGCAAAGAUUAGACUCAUGUCUGUCUGACCCCAGGCUGGGUACCCUUUCUCCUGCACUGUGUGAGGCGGGAGUGGGGAAGGACUCCUAGAACAAGCAUGGUCUGUACCUUUAAGGAGUUUAUAAUGUGUGGAAUAAACGUUUAGUAAAUGAAAGUGAAUACAAGACAGAAUACCAUAGUAAAUGCUGGAUUACAUGGCAUAGUUAAAUGUUGUAGGAGAGAAGGGGAAAACAAACCAGCUAGAGGUUGUUUGGACAGGAGGAACGUCCUCAGAACAAAAUGGAGAAGCAACCCAGCACCUGGUGAACAAAAGGGACUGGCGACCAGGUCCCAAGGCACCUGGAACGGAGGAUUAACACAGGCCAGGAAGUGGUGAAAUAAUAAAGAGAUGAGCACACAAUAAAAAUAAUUGGGUUAACAUUCUGGUGCUCUAUGCUACUACCAAGCACAGUUCUUGAGAUGUACCUACCACAUCUCAUUAAUAUUCCUUACAACUUCACAGAGGUCAGCGAGGGCAAAGCUAGCUGCGCACUCAGUUAAUGAGUGAGGGCGGAAUCAGCAAGGUGCUAUUUCAGAGCUCUCAAUGCAAAGCCACCAUCACGAACUCCAAUAAACUAAAGCUUAAAGAAGAAGAGAAAUAGUUAUUAACCUUAUAAGUAGUCCUAUUUUUUGUAAUUGUUAAGUUCUUUAAAAGUACAAGUAAAAUAACUUUACAUACUUGAAACUAUCAUAUCCAGAGGACCAGGUACCUGAUGGUGUGGGAGUAGUGCUUUCUCCAGCUCCCAGAGCUUCAAGAAAGACACUCGGGUAGAUCAGCUCUCCCCUUUACUGCACCCCCUUUUCUUAACCCUGAGUCAAAGACACAAGUAGUAUGUAGCUCUUAAUCCAUAUUUGGUUCCUAUGAAUGUCCGUAACAAUUCUCUAGGAACAUUAUAACUGAUAAAAAACUUUAAGCACAUACACAAAUUUCUGAGCAUCUAACUGGUAAUGCAUAGGAAGCUUUAUGGAGAUCCCCGUUGCACGAUACCCUCGGCAACAGAUGAACACACACGACGUCCCACACUGUCUCAUUUAAUCUUCACACUGACCCCAGGAGACAGGUAUUAGUAUACCCAUUUUAUCAAUGAAAAAACUAAGGUUCACUGGGAUUAAUCUCUCCAUUGUCACCACCUAUGUGUGAAUGCAGCCCCGGUCUGAGACCAUCUUCCCUCCUCACUACUGCCUCCAAGAACUAUCAUUGUAU
Molecule: long non-coding RNA, 2873 nt
Organism: Phyllostomus discolor (pale spear-nosed bat)
Lineage: Eukaryota; Metazoa; Chordata; Mammalia; Chiroptera; Phyllostomidae
Exons: 2
Source: RefSeq, a predicted model, not a curated record